Molecule: transfer RNA, 85 nt
Filed under: Legionella londiniensis
Lineage: Bacteria; Pseudomonadati; Pseudomonadota; Gammaproteobacteria; Legionellales; Legionellaceae
Description: tRNA-Leu(tag)
Rfam family: tRNA
About the family: Transfer RNA (tRNA) molecules are approximately 80 nucleotides in length. Their secondary structure includes four short double-helical elements and three loops (D, anti-codon, and T loops).
Source: RNAcentral
GCGAAAGUGGCGGAACUGGUAGACGCGCUGGAUUUAGGUUCCAGUGGGGAAGCCCGUGAGAGUUCGAGUCUCUCCUUUCGCACCA